RNAcentral lists this ribosomal RNA (328 nucleotides) under uncultured eukaryote. RNAcentral describes it as "partial 18S ribosomal RNA". It matches the Rfam family "Eukaryotic small subunit ribosomal RNA", at positions 1470 to 1796 of the family's 1831-position model. The record is from RNAcentral.
CCCUUAGAUGUCCGGGGCUGCACGCGCGCUACACUGAAGGAAUCAGCGUGCUAAAACCAUUGUCGAAAGGCAUUGGUAAACCCAUUAAAAUCCUACGUGAUUGGGAUCGGGAAUUGCAAUUAUUUCCCUUGAACGAGGAAUUCCCAGUAAGUGUGGGUCAUAAGCUCGCGUUGAUUACGUCCCUGCCCUUUGUACACACCGCCCGUCGCUGCCCGAGACUGAGCCGUUUCGAGAAAAGCGGGGACUGCUGCUGUCGGGGCUUUCGGGCCUUGGCUUCGGUGGAAACCGCUUUAAUCGCAGUGGCUUGAACCGGGCAAAAGUCGUAACA